RNAcentral lists this non-coding RNA (32 nucleotides) under Syntrophotalea carbinolica DSM 2380. Lineage: Bacteria; Pseudomonadati; Thermodesulfobacteriota; Desulfuromonadia; Desulfuromonadales; Syntrophotaleaceae. The record is from RNAcentral.
CCUUCGCGCUACGGAAUGAUGCAACCAGGUGG